GGGAUUGCAUGGGGGGAAACCACACUUCUUCUUCCUCUUCUCUGCCGUUGCGCCGCCUUCUCCUGCAUCCCUCUCAGUGAAUCAUAGGCUAUUUUAACAUCGUGUUCGUAGGAGCUUUCUGGAAGCACUUUUCUUCCAUCCAGACAUCAGGAAAUAAGAGGAAAUCUUUCGGUCAGAUUGCAGGGGACCGUUGGAGAGACACCGUCACGUGACCCCCGGUGCCAAAUGGUCUUCCGGCAGCGGGUUUCAGCAAGGACCGGAGCACAAGCAGACGCCACCUCUUCUCUCAGAAAUGCAGAAGGCAACAUACUACGACAACUCUUC
Molecule: long non-coding RNA, 324 nt
Organism: Monopterus albus (swamp eel)
Lineage: Eukaryota; Metazoa; Chordata; Actinopteri; Synbranchiformes; Synbranchidae
Exons: 3
Source: RefSeq, a predicted model, not a curated record